Molecule: non-coding RNA, 74 nt
Organism: Podarcis lilfordi (Lilford's wall lizard)
Lineage: Eukaryota; Metazoa; Chordata; Lepidosauria; Squamata; Lacertidae
Source: the annotation of a GenBank genome assembly
UGCCUUGUAGCUCUGUCAGCAGAGCGUGAGACUCCGAAUCUCAGGGUGCUGGGUUUGAGUCCUAUGUAGGGCAA